RNAcentral lists this transfer-messenger RNA (350 nucleotides) under Haloplasmataceae. RNAcentral describes it as "JAAZCR01 sp012513195 Standard tmRNA". It matches the Rfam family "transfer-messenger RNA". From Rfam's summary of the family: Bacterial tmRNA, also known as 10Sa RNA or SsrA, is named for its dual tRNA and mRNA-like properties. Its role is to liberate the mRNA from a stalled ribosome. To accomplish this part of the tmRNA is used as a reading frame that ends in a translation stop signal. The record is from RNAcentral. RNAcentral also lists the same sequence under 1 other name. Lineage: Bacteria; Bacillati; Mycoplasmatota; Mollicutes; Haloplasmatales.
GGGGAUGUUACGUAUUCGACGGGGGCACUUGAGCUUGAUAAGCAGGCCGUGCUAAGCAUCACGUUAAACUGUCGAGGUUAAAAUAACCGGAAACGCUAAUUUAAGAUACGCUGCUUAAUUAAAUAGUAGCAACUCUAUUCAACUAUUGCCCACGUAGUUGACUAGGGUUCAGUGUAGUGGGCUACGCUAAUGCCUGCCUCCUUAGGGCAUUAGAAGAGAUGUUAAGGAUCGCUGAUAAAAAGCCUGGCUAUCGGCGGUUUAUCAGUUAAAAAAAGUAGAUAGUCUAAGCCUGUAGAAAGUCAAGUGGUCGGUGUUUUCGGACGCGGGUUCGACUCCCGCCAUCUCCACUU